UAGCGCGCUGUAACCGAAGCGGU
RNAcentral lists this non-coding RNA (23 nucleotides) under Arabidopsis thaliana (thale cress). The record is from RNAcentral. Lineage: Eukaryota; Viridiplantae; Streptophyta; Magnoliopsida; Brassicales; Brassicaceae.